UACGAAGGGGGGCUAGCGUUGCUCGGAAUCACUGGGCGUAAAGGGCGCGUAGGCGGCGUUUUUUAAGUCGGGGGGGUGAAAAGCCUGUGGCUCAACCACAGAAAUGGCCCUUCGAUACUGGGGACGCUUUGAGUAUGGGUAGAGGUUUGGGUGGGAAACUGCGAGUGUAGAGGGUGAAAAAUUUCGUAGAUAUUUCGCAAAGAACACCCGG
This 211-nucleotide ribosomal RNA is filed under the name uncultured bacterium. RNAcentral describes it as "partial 16S ribosomal RNA". It matches the Rfam family "Bacterial small subunit ribosomal RNA", at positions 524 to 713 of the family's 1533-position model. The record is from RNAcentral.